AUUGAACGCUGGCGGCAUGCCUUACACAUGCAAGUCGAACGGCAGCACGGGAGCAAUCCUGGUGGCGAGUGGCGAACGGGUGAAUAAUGUAUCGGAACGUACCUUUCAGUGGGGGAUAACGUAGCGAAAGUUACGCUAAUACCGCAUAUUCUGUGAGCAGGAAAGCAGGGGAUCGCAAGACCUUGCGCUGAUUGAGCGGCCGAUAUCAGAUUAGCUAGUUGGUGAGGUAAAGGCUCACCAAGGCGACGAUCUGUAGCGGGUCUGAGAGGAUGAUCCGCCACACUGGAACUGAGACACGGUCCAGACUCCUACGGGAGGCAGCAGUGGGGAAUCUUGCGCAAUGGGGGCAACCCUGACGCAGCCAUGCCGCGUGAACGAUGAAGGCCUUAGGGUUGUAAAGUUCUUUUACCCGUGACGAUGAUGACGGUAACGGGGGAAUAAGCUCCGGCUAACUCGUGCCAGCAGCCGC
RNAcentral lists this ribosomal RNA (469 nucleotides) under uncultured bacterium. RNAcentral's name for it is "bacterial SSU rRNA". It matches the Rfam family "Bacterial small subunit ribosomal RNA", at positions 30 to 518 of the family's 1533-position model. The record is from RNAcentral.